AUCAAAUGAACUAAGGCUUACGGUGGAGACCUAGGCACCCAAAGACGAUGAAGGGCGCAGAUACCGGCGAAACGCUUCGGGGAGCUGGCAACAAGCUUUGAUCCGAAGAUCCCCGAAUAGGGCAACCUUGAAAACUUCCAACAGAAUUCAUAAGUUGGAAAGAGACAACCCAGUGAAUUGAAACAUCUUAGUAGCUGGAGGAAGAGAAAGCAAAAGCGAUUCCCGUAGUAGCGGCGAGCGAACCGGGAACAGCCUAAACCCAGCAAUGGGUGUAGUGGGAGGACAAAUUAAAGCAGCAAAACCAUGAAAACGAAGCAGCUGAAACCUGCACCAUAGAUGGUGAAAGUCCAGUAGUUAUAAUGUAAAGCAGAAGCGAAGUCUAAUUUCCCGAGUAGCAUGGGGCACGUGGAAUCCCGUGUGAAUCAGCGAGGACCACCUCGUAAGGCUAAAUACUCUUGGGUGACCGAUAGCGAAAUAGUAACGCGAGUGAAAGGUGAAAAGAACCCCCGUAGGGGAGUGAAAUAGAACAUGAAACCGUAAGCUGACAAGCAGUGGGAGGGUUUGUUAUAAGCCUGACCGCGUGCCUGUUGAAGAAUGAGCCGGCGACUUAGAGGAAGUGGCAAUAGGUUAAGGAGUUAUAUCCGGAGCCAAUGCGAAAGCGAGUCUGAAUAGGGCGUAAAUGUCAUUUCUUCUGGACCCGAACCCGGGUGAUCUAACCAUGACCAGGCUGAAGCUUGGGUAACACUAAGUGGAGGGCCGAACCGACCGAUGUUGAAAAAUCGGCGGAUGAGUUGUGGUUAUGCGGAGAAAUUCCAAUCGAACUCGGAGCUAGCUGGAUCUCCCCGAAAUGCGUUGAGGCGCAGCGGCAACGAUGAGCUAUCAUGGGGUAAAGCGACUGUUUCGAUGCGGGCUGCGAAAGCGGUACCAAGUCGUGGCAAACUCAGAAUACAUGGUAAUGCUUUCCGUUAGCCAGUGAGACGGAGGGGGAUAAGCUCCUACGUCAAGAGGGAAACAGCCCAGAUCACCAGCUAAGGCCCCUAAAUGGUCACUAAGUGGAAAAGGAUGUGAGAAUGCUGAAACAACCAGGAGGUUUGCUUAGAAGCAGCCACCCUUGAAAGAGUGCGUAAUAGCUCACUGGUAAAGCGUUUUUGCGCCGAUAAUGGCCGGGACUAAGUGACCUGCCGAAGCUGUGAGAUUUCUAUAAAGAAAUCGGUAGGGGAGCGUUCCGUAUUUGGGUGAAGUUUUCAUGUAAAUGGGAAUGGACAAUUCGGAAGUGAGAAUGUCGGCUUGAGUAACGAAAACAUUGGUGUGAAUCCAAUGCCCCGAAAACCGUUGGGUUCCUCCACUAGGUUCGUCCAUGGGGGGUGAGUCAGGUCCUAAGGCUAGGCCGAAAGGCGUCGUCGAUGGCAAACAGGUUAAUAUUCCUGUACUAAUUCUAUUGGGAACCAAGGGACGAAGAAGACUAAACUGAAACUGCUUUUGGAUUUCAGUGGAAGCGUUUAGGUGUUGAGAGUUAGAAUAAAAACUAUACUUGAGCUAAGGCGUUAUCCCGAUAUAACUCCUCGUGAGUUAUGUCGUCAGUGAUGUCAUACUUCCUAGAAAAGCUUGAACACCAUUAACAAUAGAAUUACCUGUACCUAAAACCGACACAGGUAGGUUGGUAGAGAAUACCAAGGGGCGCGAGAGAACUCUCUCUAAGGAACUCGGCAAACUGGCCCCGUAACUUCGGAAGAAGGGGUGUAUGUUUUAUACAUAUCGCAGUGACCAGGCCCUUGCAACUGUUUAUCAAAAACACAGGUCUCCGCAAAGUCGAAAGACAACAUAUGGGGGCUGACGCCUGCCCAGUGCCGGAAGGUUAAGGAAGUUGGUUAUUCUUUAUUAGAAAAAGCUGACGACCGAAGCCCCGGUGAACGGCGGUCGUAACUAUAACGAUCCUAAGGUAGCGAAAUUCAUUGUCGAGUAAGUUUCGACCUGCACGAAAGGCGUAAUGAUAAGGGCGCUGUCUCGGAGAGAGACUCGGUGAAAUAGACUUGUCCGUGAAGAUGCGGACUACCUGUACCUGGACAGAAAGACCCUAUGAAGCUUGACUGUAUCCUGGAAUUGGGUUCGGGCUUUUCUUGCGCAGCCUAGGUGGGAGGCGUUGAUGGUUUCCUUCCGGGGAAAUCGGAGCCGUCAUUGAGAGACCACUCUGGAAGAGCUAGAAUCCUAAUGGUGAUCUUUGAAUCAAGACACUUGACAGUUUCAGGUGGGCAGUUUAUCUGGGGCGGAUGCCUCCUAAAAGGUAACGGAGGCGUGCAAAGGUUCCCUCAGUCUGGACGGAAAUCAGACAUUGAGUGUAAAGGCAAAAGGGAGCUUGACUGCAAGACCUACAAGUCGAGCAGGGGCGAAAGCCGGCCUUAGUGAUCCGACGGUGCCGUGUGGAAGGGCCGUCGCUCAACGGAUAAAAGUUACUCUAGGGAUAACAGGCUGAUCUUCCCCAAGAGUUCACAUCGACGGGAAGGUUUGGCACCUCGAUGUCGGCUCAUCACAUCCUGGAGCGGCAGUACGUUCCAAGGGUUGGGCUGUUCGCCCAUUAAAGUGGUACGUGAGCUGGGUUCAGAACGUCGUGAGACAGUUCGGUCCAUAUCCGGUAUAGGCGUUAGAGCAUUGAGAGGAACCCUUUUUAGUACGAGAGGAUUGAAAGGGACGUGUCAAUGGUGUACCAGUUCUCACUCCAGUGGGAAACGCUGGGUAGCUAUACACGGAGACGAUAAAAGCUGACAGCAUCUAAGUUUGAAGCUCACCUCAAGAUGAGUGCUCUCCAUUAGACCACGGGAAGAUAACCCGGUUAAUAGGAUUCAAGUGCACAGUCCGUAAUGGCUUUAGCUGAGAAUUACUAAGAGUCGAUUGAUUUUGAU
RNAcentral lists this ribosomal RNA (2897 nucleotides) under Chlorosarcinopsis eremi. RNAcentral's name for it is "large subunit ribosomal RNA". It matches the Rfam family "Bacterial large subunit ribosomal RNA". Lineage: Eukaryota; Viridiplantae; Chlorophyta; Chlorophyceae; Chlorosarcinales; Chlorosarcinaceae. The record is from RNAcentral.